AUCACUGUCGUCUCUAAUUCGCUUGGUGCAGGUCGGGAAUGCUUCGCUCUGUAGCUGCCGUCUCCUUCCUCUCGCAAGAUUCCAUUUCUUUACGGGCGAACGGAUUCCCGCCUUGCAUCAACUGAAUCGGAGAUGGCUGUGAAG
Molecule: microRNA precursor, 144 nt
Filed under: Nelumbo nucifera (sacred lotus)
Lineage: Eukaryota; Viridiplantae; Streptophyta; Magnoliopsida; Proteales; Nelumbonaceae
Description: MIR168 microRNA precursor family
Rfam family: MIR168 microRNA precursor family
Source: Rfam by way of RNAcentral